This 313-nucleotide ribosomal RNA is filed under the name uncultured eukaryote. Its description in RNAcentral is "partial large subunit ribosomal RNA". It matches the Rfam family "Eukaryotic large subunit ribosomal RNA", at positions 40 to 350 of the family's 3401-position model. The record is from RNAcentral.
AUAUCAAUAAGCGGAGGAAAAGAAACCAACAGGGAUUGCCCCAGUAACGGCGAGUGAAGCGGCAAUAGCUCAAAUUUGAAAUCUGGCUCCUUCGGAGUCCGAGUUGUAAUUUGCAGAGGAUGCUUCGGCGUUGGACCCGUGCUAGGUUCCUCGGAACAGGACGUCAUAGAGGGUGAGAACCCCGUCUUUGCUCGGGAAACCAUCGCCAUGUGAAGCUCCUCGACGAGUCGAGUUGUUUGGGAAUGCAGCUCUAAGUGGGAGGUAAAUUUCUUCUAGAGCUAAAUACUGGCCAGAGACCGAUAGCGCACAAGUA